RNAcentral lists this ribosomal RNA (264 nucleotides) under uncultured bacterium. RNAcentral describes it as "partial 16S ribosomal RNA". It matches the Rfam family "Bacterial small subunit ribosomal RNA", at positions 793 to 1055 of the family's 1533-position model. The record is from RNAcentral.
GUCCACGCCGUAAACGAUGAUAACUAGCUGUCGGGGCCUUAGGCUUUCGGUGGCGCAGCUAACGCAUUAAGUUAUCCGCCUGGGGAGUACGGCCGCAAGGUUAAACUCAAAGAAAUUGACGGGGCCUGCACAAGCGGUGGAGCAUGUGGUUUAAUUCGAAGCAACGCGCAGAACCUUACCAGCGUUUGACAUCCUCAUCGCGGAUUCCAGAGAUGGUUUCCUUCAGUUAGGCUGGAUGAGUGACAGGUGCUGCAUGGCUGUCGU